This 256-nucleotide non-coding RNA is filed under the name Faecalibacterium. RNAcentral describes it as "cf. T-box sequence". It matches the Rfam family "T-box leader". Rfam says of the family: Uncharged tRNA acts as the effector for transcription antitermination of genes in the T-box leader family. T-boxes are found upstream of many aminoacyl-tRNA synthetase genes and some amino acid biosynthetic genes usually in Gram-positive bacteria. The anticodon of a specific tRNA base pairs to a specifier sequence within the T-box motif, and the NCCA acceptor tail of the tRNA base pairs to a conserved bulge in the T-box antiterminator hairpin. Lineage: Bacteria; Bacillati; Bacillota; Clostridia; Eubacteriales; Oscillospiraceae. The record is from RNAcentral.
AUUACGGCUAUGACGAGAAAAAGUACCCGGAAGGAAUGCUGCAGAGAGCUGCCGGUUGGUGCAAGGCAGUGCAGGGCAUCCGUGGGAAGAUCCUCUCCGAGCUUUCCGGCUGAAUGGGCGGUGUGCGCCCCAGUAAGCAGGAACGGCAGGCCCCCGUUAUCACGGGCCGCGCGUUGUUGGACGUGCACUGAGUGGUCAGCGUUGUGCUGGCAAUAAGAGUGGUACCGCAGAGGAUAUUACACGCCUUUGUCUCUUA